AGAAGUGGUGCUGUGAAGAGAACAAUUGUCAGAGUGAAUGUUGAACAUCAGCUAGUUUCUCCUGUUGAUUGAAACCUUGUUGUACAGAUGGAACAUUGGCUGUGGAUUCUUCUUGCUGCUCUUUUCUUUGAGUGUAAAGGAGAAGACAAAGUGAUCCAACCAGGAGGAGAAGUCAUUGCUGCUGAAGGAGACUCUCUCACACUCAACUGUACCUUUGAGACCACUUUUACUCCACAUUUAUUUUGGUACAGAAGAGAAAAAAAUGGGAACAUAAAUUAUAUUUUGCGGCGCCACAGUUAUGGAAAAGAUGAUAACGCUCCAGAGUUCCAGAAAGACAGAUUUGAUGCUGAACUCAAAGACAAAUCAGUUCCUCUGAAGAUCCAGAAGCUUCAUGUGUCUGACUCUGCUGUGUACUACUGUGCUCUGCAGCCCACAGUGACAGGAAACAGCAAAGUUCUGUACAAAAACCUGCAGAACAAAGACAACUCCACACUACACAACAUCCACUAGAGGGCAUCACACACUGUGAAAACUUUGAUUGUUCAAUCAGUGAUGAAAAGAUGAAAAGGACAAAAG
This is a non-coding RNA of Oryzias latipes (Japanese medaka), 576 nucleotides long. Lineage: Eukaryota; Metazoa; Chordata; Actinopteri; Beloniformes; Adrianichthyidae. The record is from the annotation of a RefSeq genome assembly.